AUGCAGGUGGAGCACGCAUGGGAGUUCCCCAUCCACCACGGUCACCGCCGUCAAGUGCUUCUUCACGGAGAUGUGAAGGACGCCAAGGACCUGCAGCUACUCAAGCUCAUUUGUGUGUGCUUCAUGUAUAUGCUCAUGCUUUUGAUGCUGCUGGACUUUGGAAUGCAUCCGCACAGUAACUUUCUGGGUAUGCUUGCAUUCAGGUUGUCAUUAGUUACGAGAUGGUACAUCAGUGUCUCCACUCUAGAGAUGAAUAUAAUACGCCAAAACACAGAAAUUAUUCCGUUCAAAGUGAAUUACACGGCAUAA
Molecule: ribosomal RNA, 309 nt
Filed under: Triticum aestivum (bread wheat)
Lineage: Eukaryota; Viridiplantae; Streptophyta; Magnoliopsida; Poales; Poaceae
Description: partial small subunit ribosomal RNA
Source: RNAcentral